RNAcentral lists this ribosomal RNA (253 nucleotides) under uncultured bacterium. RNAcentral describes it as "partial 16S ribosomal RNA". It matches the Rfam family "Bacterial small subunit ribosomal RNA", at positions 524 to 776 of the family's 1533-position model. The record is from RNAcentral.
UACGUAGGGGGCAAGCGUUGUCCGGAUUUAUUGGGCGUAAAGAGCGUGUAGGCGGUUAGGUAGGUCCGUUGUGAAAACUCGAGGCUUAACCUCGAGACGCCGAUGGAAACCAUCUGACUAGAGUCCGGAAGAGGAGAGUGGAAUUCCUGGUGUAGCGGUGAAAUGCGCAGAUAUCAGGAAGAACACCCGUGGCUAAGGCGGCUCUCUAGUACGUGACUGACGCUGAGACGCGAAAGCGUGGGGAGCGAACAGG